CCCUUAGAUGUUCUGGGCUGCACGCGCGCUACACUGAUGCGCUCAACGAGUUUUAACCUUGCCUGGAAAGGUUGGGUAAUCUUUUUAAAACGCAUCGUGAUGGGGAUAGAUUAUUGCAAUUAUUAAUCUUCAACGAGGAAUUCCUAGUAAGCGCGAGUCAUCAGCUCGUGCUGAUUACGUCCCUGCCCUUUGUACACACCGCCCGUCGCUCCUACCGAUUGAAUGAUCCGAUGAAUAUCAUGGAUUGAGGAUUAUAGCAGGUUCGCCUGUCUUGAUCUUCGAGAAGUGAAGUAAAUCUUAUCAUUUAGAGGAAGGAGAAGUCGUAACA
Molecule: ribosomal RNA, 328 nt
Filed under: uncultured eukaryote
Lineage: Eukaryota
Description: partial 18S ribosomal RNA
Rfam family: Eukaryotic small subunit ribosomal RNA
Source: RNAcentral